Hyla sarda is the source of this 564-nucleotide long non-coding RNA. RefSeq lists it as uncharacterized. Lineage: Eukaryota; Metazoa; Chordata; Amphibia; Anura; Hylidae. The record is from RefSeq and is a predicted model, not a curated record. The transcript has 3 exons.
UCCCAUUCCUCUUCCGGGUUUCAUGUGGUCAACACGUUAGCAAUCGCUAGCCACAGCGAUGUCCCACCUCAGCCAGUGAUUGGUUCGGUAUUCGGCCCCGGCACCAGGAAGAAGACCGGGUCGGGCUUUAUACAUCAGAUUGCCAUUCAGAAAUCAUUGUAGUGGAGAAGACUUCGGCGUAGGUGCGGGCUUCAGAAAGGACACAGGAUACCGACAGAUCAUCCUUCGUGUGCUUCAUUACUGUAACUGGGUCAUGUGAUCACCAGUCUGACCCACAAAAACUCACAGUGCAUAAUGUGUCUGAGGAAGAGGCCAGUUCUGGGUCAGGUUUUUACGCUGAUGGCUUCACUGAUUCGUCAGCCUGGAGCGCCGCGGCACCACUUAUCGUCGCAGUUAUGCGUUAAUUAUACAAUAUAUUACAGGUCGAGACCUUAAAAAGGAACAAAUUACAGCUAUUCAAUAAAGCCAACAGCCGAGACAGGGAGGUGACUGCACCUUCAUACAAGAGAUGGAAGAACUAACAAGUAAAGCUGUAAAAUAAGUUAAUAAAGCCUGACCCGUAAA